UACGUAGGGGGCCAGCGUUGUUCGGAAUUACUGGGUGUAAAGGGUUCGUAGGCGGUGUGGCAAGUCGGGAGUGAAAUCUCUGGGCUCAACCCAGAGACUGCUUCCGAAACUGCUGUGCUUGAGUGUGAGAGAGGCUCGUGGAAUUGCAGGUGUAGCGGUGAAAUGCGUAGAUAUCUGCAGGAACACCCGUGGCGAAAGCGGCGAGCUGGAUCACUACUGACGCUGAGGAACGAAAGCUAGGGGAGCAAACAGG
RNAcentral lists this ribosomal RNA (253 nucleotides) under uncultured bacterium. RNAcentral's name for it is "partial 16S ribosomal RNA". It matches the Rfam family "Bacterial small subunit ribosomal RNA", at positions 524 to 776 of the family's 1533-position model. The record is from RNAcentral.